GAUGAACGCUAGCUACAGGCUUAACACAUGCAAGUCGCGGGGCAGCAUGGGGGUUGCUUGCAAUCCCCGAUGGCGACCGGCGCACGGGUGAGUAACGCGUAUCCAACCUGCCCUUCACCACGGGAUAACCCGGCGAAAGUCGGACUAAUACCGUAUGUUGUCCAUUGACGGCAUCCGAUUUGGACGAAAGGUUUGGCGGUGAAGGAUGGGGAUGCGUCCGAUUAGCUGGACGGCGGGGUGACGGCGCACCGUGGCGACGAUCGGUAGGGGUUCUGAGAGGAAGGUCCCCCACACUGGAACUGAGACACGGUCCAGACUCCUACGGGAGGCAGCAGUGAGGAAUAUUGGUCAAUGGGCGUAAGCCUGAACCAGCCAAGUAGCGUGCAGGAUGACGGCCCUAUGGGUUGUAAACUGCUUUUAUGCGGGGAUAAAGUGGCCCACGUGUGGGUUUUUGCAGGUACCGCAUGAAUAAGGACCGGCUAAUUCCGUG
This 490-nucleotide ribosomal RNA is filed under the name uncultured bacterium. RNAcentral describes it as "partial 16S ribosomal RNA". It matches the Rfam family "Bacterial small subunit ribosomal RNA", at positions 28 to 507 of the family's 1533-position model. The record is from RNAcentral.